GCAAACAAACAAAUAAAUUUAAAAGCCAGGAAGUGAGAAAGGGAGAGACAACCAUUUUUUGUGGCAGCUGGGAGGACUAAAAAAGUGGCUGACCAACCACUGACCUCGCCAUCUCCAGACUGUGUUGCAAGAAGAGAAGAUGAGGGGAAGAGUCGAGGAUCAGCCUGUGAGCUUUCUGGAGGGGUGACUAUGCUAGAUGGACACUUGGCCUGCUCCAGCAGAUCUCCUAGUUAGCUUGGCAGGCAGCUAUUCUGGGAGAAGCUUUGUGGACACUUGGCCCUGGAGCCUCAGCUUGCACACACUGCUAGAAAGCCUCUGACUCCAUCCUGGCUACUAAGCCUGAGCAAUUAAACUAGUGCUACUUG
Candoia aspera is the source of this 365-nucleotide long non-coding RNA. RefSeq lists it as uncharacterized. The record is from RefSeq and is a predicted model, not a curated record. The transcript has 3 exons. NCBI's taxonomy places the organism in Eukaryota, Metazoa, Chordata, Lepidosauria, Squamata, Candoiidae.